This is a long non-coding RNA of Arabidopsis thaliana (thale cress), 558 nucleotides long. RefSeq annotates it as other RNA. Lineage: Eukaryota; Viridiplantae; Streptophyta; Magnoliopsida; Brassicales; Brassicaceae. The transcript has a single exon. The record is from RefSeq.
CGUCUCUAAACUUGUUUCACCAAUUGAAAAAACGAUUAUCCCGAUUUGUGGCUCUUGCCUCUCGUCUACCGGCUUAUAUUUGCAAUCUGCAACAUAUCGUCGUCUCCCUAUUCCAUACGUAUCAAGCGAGAUAUGUUCAGUCUCUGACUUGGCCUUCUAAUAUUUUGAAAAUUUUGGAAUGCUUUCUUCAAGUGUAUGAACCAUAUUGUAUACUUCGAACUCGACUCUGAUACUGACCUUAUGGGUCCCCAUCUUGCAACUCUUUCCGUUGUGAAGAGCAUACUGCUGCAACCCUCCUCCUUUACAAAGAGAACAAUUUGCUCCUUACCCUCCUUCAUGAAGAAAACUGUUACAAUGUGGUCUCCGGUCUGGAACCGUCCAUUCUUCCAGUUGUUACUAUCUUUUGGAGAAGAAGUAAUACGUCUCAUGCCGGUGAGAAUUGAGGUCUUGGAUUCCUUUUCAAAGUCAAAUUGUCAAUCGACUAUGAUUAUUUACGACUUGCUUGUGGAUGUAGUAUCGACUUACGAUUUUCUCGCUUUUGUCUAUGUGCCUUAUCGC